GAUGAACGCUGGCGGCGUGCCUAAUACAUGCAAGUCGAGCGAACAGACGAGGAGCUUGCUCCUCUGACGUUAGCGGCGGACGGGUGAGUAACACGUGGAUAACCUACCUAUAAGACUGGGAUAACUUCGGGAAACCGGAACUAAUACCGGAUAAUAUAUUGAACCGCAUGGUUCAAUAGUGAAAGACGGUUUUGCUGUCACUUAUAGAUGGAUCCGCGCCGCAUUAGCUAGUUGGUAAGGUAACGGCUUACCAAGGCAACGAUGCGUAGCCGACCUGAGAGGGUGAUCGGCCACACUGGAACUGCGACACGGUCCAGACUCCUACGGGAGGCAGCAGUAGGGAAUCUUCCGCAAUGGGCGAAAGCCUGACGGAGCAACGCCGCGUGAGUGAUGAAGGUCUUCGGAUCGUAAAACUCUGUUAUUAGGGAAGAACAAAUGUGUAAGUAACUAUGCACGUCUUGACGGUACCUAAUCAGAAAGCCACGGCUAACUACGUG
This 497-nucleotide ribosomal RNA is filed under the name uncultured bacterium. Its description in RNAcentral is "partial 16S ribosomal RNA". It matches the Rfam family "Bacterial small subunit ribosomal RNA", at positions 28 to 507 of the family's 1533-position model. The record is from RNAcentral.